CAGACGAUUCUAUUGAUUUCUUCUCGGUGAAAAACAAAGGUUUGGAACCCUGGACUCUUUCUCGUGAACUUGUUCAGUAAAAUAAAUAGAUGGAUCGCCCUUUCCUAUCCAGGAAGUUGAUCCCCGUUGCCCAAAACCAACAAGGGUUCUAAUAGUCAAGUAAAUGGUGGGACCUCCUUCCGGGAACUCUGAUGAACUUAUCUUAUUGAGUCUCUCUCCUAGGGUUGGUUUUCUCAUCUGAUCCUAAAUCAUUCAACAACCUAAGUGUUGUAGCUCUCUUUUUCUUCGCUGCUAGACGAGGAGCUGGGUAGAUAGAUAAUAGAUCCUCUCCCUAGGAUGGUAGCUUCUAUUCCUUGAUUGCCCCGCAAGUUAAAUAAGGGAUUCUAAUGCUUCUUGAAGCCAAAUAAGGGCAUAAACCACUAUAUAGAGUCUUGAGUGCCUUCCCUUCGGAAACCAACUAAGGCAACUCCGAUUGAAUGCGAAAUCCCGCUAGCCAUUAUUCGUAUGAACUCCUAGAUCCAUGAAGGACAUGGGCAUCUGUAAGCCGGUGUAGCUAAGCGAAAAUCUCGCUAGCCAUUAUUCGUAUGAACUCCUAGAUCCAAUAAGGACGUGGGCAUAUGUAAGACGGUGUAGCUAAGCAAAGAGCGAAAAGAAGGAAUCAGAAAAUCAAUGCAUUCCUUCUUAAUCUUGCCGAUGAUGAUAUCUUAAUCAAAGAAAAGAAUAUUUAAUAAGAAAAUAAAAUUUCCUUUUCCGGGUAUAGGUUUAAUUAAGAAUUCCAGGUGGUCCAGUGGAUGGAUUAAGCUAUUGAUCAUAUCAUAGGUCAAGGACGGAACGAAGAACCAACGUUUUUCUUCCUCCUCUGUUCUUUACUAAGAUUGUAAUAGAUUCGUGCUUUCUCUUCCCCGAGGGAACGGACUAGCACAAUAAUUCCGAGUCACCUAUCCAUUAUGUGAGUGAGCCCGCCCUACGGAUCCCCUUUCUUCAAUGGGGGAGGGGUCAUAGCUUCUCUGCCCGCUUAGUUUCACAAGUCUGAAUGAUUUGGGGCAGAGAAUCUGCCGUAGAUGUGAAAUUUGCUAAUUUUCAUUCUCAGCUUUCUCAUCACAUGAAUGANNNNNNNNNNNNNNNNNNNNNNNNNNNNNNNNNNNNNNNNNNNNNNNNNNNNNNNNNNNNNNNNNNNNCAUGAAUGAGACAUAACUUCUUAUCAUAAGAAUAGUGAACUAGAAAUCAGAUUUUGAUUGGUUUGAGGAUUUCGACCUUGAACUAGAAGAGGUUCUUUUUUCUUUGGACAGACAGGAAAGAGAGAUCGCGAUGAUGACGACUUGAAGAAGUAUAGUAUAAAUCAAAUAGAAGGCUCGUUCGUAGAUCAGCACAAAGCUAUUAAUCCAAUCCGAUCCAAGAUGAGUAGCCGAGUUCUUCUUCCUAUGGUUGGCACGAGAAUCCCUCUCAAAGGGGAAGAAUCUGAUUCGAUCUCCGGGCUUAUAACCAACCUAUGAACAAUGGUCUGUCUCGUCUAGUUGGUCUCCUUCUUGGCAUCAAGAGUCGUCAGUACUGAAAAGGCCCUGGCAUUACCUUCGUUCCGGGCUUAUAACCAACCUAUGAACAUUGGUCUGUCUCGUCUAGUUGGUCUCCUUCUUGGCAUAAAGAGUCGUCAGUUCUGAAAAGGCCAUAGCAUUACCUUCGGGAAAUCUAGGAGGACAGCUCGCCCAGCCUAUGGUGGACGUUGGUUGAGUCGGCGAUGAUUACGACCAUUCAAAUUCAUUUUUCCAUUAGCUGGAGUAGGAAGGGGGCUGACGUCGAUAAGUUAUUAUAUAUAAAAGAUAAUUAAGGCAUUAGGAAUCUGGGUGAUCACGCGCUUCACGUGGUAUUUAUUAGGAUUAGGACUGAGAAAAAUUACCGCUUAUUUCAGACAGCCCGGACCAUCGCUUUUAUCGUCAACAGAGAGAGCCGCUCGAUAAAGGAAGUCGGCUUAGGUGAUCACACGCUUCACGUGGUAUUUAUUAGGAUUAGGACUGAGAAAAACUACCGCUUAUUUCAGACAGCCCGGACCAUCACUUUUAGCGUUAACAGAGAGAGCCGCUCGAUAAAGGAAGGCAGCUUUGGGAAAAAAUCAUUCCUUUGCCGGGCGCAAGUCAAAGUAGUAAAAAAGGGCAACUGGGAAAGUAGCGAGCAGGAGCACUGUUGGGCUUUGUGGUCGUUAACGGGAACAAAUGAAGAGGAGCACAGCAUCCUACGCACUCAAUUGGCUAAUCAAAGUUAAAGCGGACAGCUUCUUUUGAAUGGGUCACCAAUAGAACUGUCGGUUCUUCAAAAUCUAACAUCGGGACCACCUUUAAAGUUACCCGGUCUUGUUCCAAAUCAGCCGUUCAUUCAACACUGCUGCAACCUCUGCACGCGUUAGUCGACGGCAGAAGUGCUUUUUCAGUUUGUUAUGCGUUCCAACCCAUGGACUUGGUAGCAGGAGGUUCGGACGAUGGUUGUGUCCUGAACCCAGUCAGCGGCACAUCUCCUAUCUCCUAAAGAAGCGGCUGAACAGCUGCGAGCCACUUGCUUCCUGGAGAACGGCGGGAGAGGCUAGGCGAGACUUAAAGGCUGUAGCGAACAACCAUCUGGUAAGAGGUUUUUCCAGAAAGCAAAAACCCGAAGGUUAGCCUUGCAUGAACUAGGGAAAGAUAGAACUCAACUUCACACUGGUUAGCAAAACCCUAGAGCUUCCCUGCUUCGGUAGAACCUUCUACUUUACCAAGUAAAAAGUUUAAGCUGGGACACCACGUCGAUUAACUUUGCAUUCCGCCAUCACAUAUUCCACUUCCUUCGACAAGGAAGUCGUCAUCCUUUCCGGUGGCCUCUUGGGAACGCCUCUUGUAGGGUCUUCCAUGUCUGGAUGGUAUGUCUUUAGACACCCCACAUGGAAGACAGGGUGGAUCUUUAGCUUGGAAAGAAGCUGAAGUUUUUAGGCAACUUGUCCUACUUUCUCUAUGAUGGGGAAUGUCCCCUCAUACUUGCGGCUGACACCCUUACUAAAAAAGAAGGAAAGAUUUUUUGCAAUAGUGGAUUUUUUUUUUUUCUCAUCCUUCACUUGCGGCUGACACCCUUACUAAAAAAUAAGGAAAUAUUUUUUUACAACAGUGGAUUUUUUUUUUCUCAUCCUUCAGCUUGGAAAUUCAGUUUCAUGAUUGAGUUUCCCCUUUCUUGUACAGAUGCUGGGGAUCCAGCCCUCAUAGGAAAUUUCCUAUGAGAUCGCAUUCCAUCGAUUUUUUAAGAUUGGAGGGCUCCCUCUAGUGCUAAAUAAAAAAGAUCUUUGAGCAAGGGAUAGCUUUUCAACAGGCGAAGAAAGGCCUCACCAAACACUUCAUGCCCAAAGGAAGAAGCAAAUGAGCAAUCGAGCCACGAGGAAACGAAUAGUGAUGCAAGUCUUCAUCAAAGCUCACACGCUAAGUUUGGAACCCUUACCCUUUCCUGCGAAAACCAAAGCAUCAAAGACAUCGGCCACCUAGUAAAAAACCGACAGUCGAUGAAGAAAAAUGCUUCAAUUAUGGACAUCCCAGUGGGUAAUCUAGCCAUGAGGAAACGGAUAGUGAUGCAAGUCCUCAUCAAAGCUCACACUCUAAGUUUGGAACCCUUAACCUUUGCUGCGAAAACCAAAGCAUCAAAGACAUCGGCCACCUAGUAAAAAACCGACAGUCGAUGAAGAAAAAUGCUUCAAUUAUGGACAUCCCAGUGGGCCCCCUCACAUCAGGUUUUCGAGAAAGAAGAAAUAAGAAUUGCUUUUAACUUCCUAUCGGCCCUCUUCUCUGUUCUAGGUCCUUUCCUCACUGAGGACCAUGGGCCAAUAACUUCAGAUACAAAGCAUGAUUUUUCCAAGACGUGCAAGGCGCCCCCCAGCCUUCCAACGGGAAAGACUUCAACAUAAAAGUAAAUUUCCGUUCUUCCUGUUCCCGCGGCAGACGUAUGCUCGGUUGAAGCCCCCCAGCCUUCCAACGAGAAAGGCGUCAAUAUAAAGUUAAUUUCUGUUCCUCCUGUUCCCGCGGCAGACGUAUGCUCGGUUGAAGCUGGAUUUAGAAAGGAUCGGAAGCGGUGCAUAUAUGACAUUUUAAGGACAAGAAAUAUUGGACUAGACUAUUCCUUAUGUAGAUGUAGUGGAUAAGCUCUCCGUGUUGGGAUAGGCGUUCGGAUUUCCACAGCUAUUCUAAGAGCGUGCUGAAUCCAACCGUUGCACGUUCCCCCUUUGGCUAAACCACCACUUCAGGCUAACCCUUUUGCCUGGCUGGCACUUACUCAAGUUAGAGUUUUGCGCUCUCUCAAAACGCCUGCACGCCUGCGAAAAGAAAACCCUUUUGCCUGGCUAGCACUUACUUAAGUUAGAGUUUUGCGCUCUCUCAAAACGCCUGCACGACUGCGAGUGUUCUCCCCGAUCCUACAAAUUGAGCUUCCGAAAGGGGUGCUUGCUGGAGCAGCUCAACGAGAUCUGGGUUCAAUUCUCGCUAUGCCUCAUCCUAGUGGGUAUCUGCGCCAUUAGGCCAGCUAAAAUUGCUCUGAUCUAGUGUGAAUCCGCUCCUGUUCGGGCUCACUCAGCAAAAAGCUAACUCUCUUCUCCUGCUUUAGCUUGAGCCCACCCGGACAUACUCUAGCAUGACACCCGUCACCAUACAUAGGUAAUACCAUGUCCAAAUGCUAUCUUCCUCGAAGUUUCUGCUCAAUAUGCUCUUGUUUUUGGGGGGAGGAUCCACUACAUGGACCAACGGAGCACUGUCGGGUCGAUAGCCCUUGAUCCGGGAUCUAUUUUUAACAAAAAAUAGUUGGAUUUGCCAGCCUUAGCUGAAGAAAACUGUUCGUAUAGUAGUAGGUUUGAGAACCUGUUCAAACCAUCUCAUAGGUCGUCCGCAGUACAAAAGGUCAAUUUAAUUGCGAUACUAAGCUUCCUUUUACGCCGUGGAAUGAACCAUUACUCAAAGACAGUAGGCAAGGCACUAUAAGGAAGUGAAGUAGGGUCGGUAGAUAUAGGCUUCUCUUCUAUUGAAUAAGUGGACUCCCCCCUUUCACUUGAGCAUUGAAUUGACUCUUCUUCGAUAGCUUUCAAGCGGUGAACCCGAUCCAAUUUGUUUUAUAGUCGUAUCUUAUUGGCUUGAGAUUCUCCAUUGAGUGUUUCGUACUUACGACUUGGAUGAACUUUCAUAAUAUCUGUAAGGGCUCGAAUGGCGUGAGCCGCAUGCGGGGAGACCCGCACGUACGGUUUUUAGGGGGAUCUGGUCGAAAAACCGGCCGGCGCCCACCCGACUAGAGGGACUGAGAAAUUAAUUGAGUAAAAAACUUAUCUUCAACGCAUAGCUUUUUGGUUGAUAUUCAUGUCAAAACCACCAAACAGAGUUGUUGCUUAACUUCUUGUGAAGCAACCUAGCUGUCGGCUACAGAGACGACAACCUCGUCAAAGAGGCAAGCUUUGCUCUGAUACCAUGUAAUCAGAGAGGAUAACUUGUUGUAUUUCUAUUCAUGAAUACAUGAGAUUUAUACACUUAUACAAGACUCUAUCAAAGGAAACAUAAUCAAACAAAAUAAAGGAAAAUAUCUUAAGGAUCGGCUUCUAUAACUGAAUCACCAAUCUUUGCAAAGUAAUCUAUUUAUAUCUCACUAAUUAUUUUGUAAUAAAUGCUAGCAAAGCAUAAAAGAAUAGUACAUUAGGCGGCACUUUCUUCAUUAACGGUCUUAUGCAUCAACCGUAGAGGUGCACAUGGACAUGGUUGGUUCAGAUUUUAUCAAAUUCAAAUAGAACCUUUCUUCAUUAACUGUCUUAUGCAUCAACCGUAGAGGUGCACGUGGAAUUGUUCAGAUUUUAUCAAAUUUGGAUUGGUUCGGUUUUAUUGGGUAUUUGGAUUUUUUUGAUACAUGAACUUUAUUUCAAUCUUACUUUGUGAAGAUUAUCCAUAAAUUUUGAUAAGUGAAUAUAUGUUUACUAAAAUUUAAAAAAUUGACAAACAUAUGAUCUAUUUAAAAUUCUUAUUAGAGAAUAUUUCAGUAACACAUGAUAGUUAUUUUCUUAGUCAUCUAAUAACAAUUUUUUGUUGAUGUAUGCUUUCAAGGGUAUCUGAAUUUAAUAAUUAAAUAUACAAAUCAAUAUCCGAAUUUUUUGGCCUCGACUCUCUAUUAGUCGAGGCCAAAAGUAGGUCUUAACAUGGAAUGACAAACAAGAAAAAGAGAAAACUAUUAUAUAUUGGCACUCUUUCCGUCGCAAUUUAUGUGAUGGUAUUCUAAUUUCGAGAAUCAAAUAAAUUAUCGUUUGACCAUAAGUUUUUCAUAUGUCUUUUAAUAGCAUUACAAAACCAACACACAUAAAAACAACAUAGGCAAGAAAAUGAAUACGAUAAGUUUUCUCAGGCUUCUAUGUCACGACCCAAAUCGAAGGGCCGCGACGGGCACCGGGUGCCUUACACGACCGUGUACCAACAUAACAUAACUUUCUUAUUAUACUAUUAUUGGUAAAACAGAACAAACACACAUAAAAACAACAUAGGCGAGAAAAAGAAUACGAUAAGUUUUCUUAGGCUUCUAUGUCACGGCCCAAAUCGAAGGGCCGCGACGGGCACCGGGUGCCUUACUCGACCGAGUACCAACAUAUCAUAUCUUUCUUAUUAUACUAUUAUUGGUAAGUGAGCUAGAAAAUCUGACAAGAGAUAACAAGAAUAAAACAUAAGGGAAUGCUCAACAUAUGACGACCAAACAUGAUAUACAAACUUAUACAUGUGACAUACGGGCCAGAGAUAACAAGAAUAAAACAUAAGGGAAUACUCAACAUAUGACGACCAAACAUGAUAUACAAACUUAGACAUGUAACAUACGGGCCUAUAAGGCCGACAUGACCAUUUGAAAUCUGAAAACAUAGGCCGACAAGGCCAUAUAUGUAUCUGUAUACAUGACAUCUGUCUAGAUUAAGACUGCAUAAUAUCAUAAAAGGUUGGGACAAGGUCCACGAUACCAAUCAAUACAUGUACUAAUUAUACUGACCAAAGAAGCAACUCCAAUGCAAAUAGAGCGCACCAACACCUUUUGCUAAGCUGAUAGCCUACUUGGAGGACUCUCAGCCUUUCAAUCAAGACCCACGAUCAUGAAACGCAGAAUCCCUGGCAUAAAGGACGUCGGUACGAAUAAUGUACCGAGUAUGUAAGGCAGGAAAACAUAAACAAGAACAGUAAUGUAAAGAGGGAUAGAGGAGAUACAACCUAUAACAUCUAGGUGCCUCUAGGGCUACUGACAUGAAAUGCAACAUACAUAUAUAUAUAUAUAUAUAUAUGUAUGUAUAUAUAUAUAUAUAUAUAUANNNNNNNNNNNNNNNNNNNNNNNNNNNNNNNNNNNNNNNNNNNNNNNNNNNNNNNNNNNNNNNNNNNNNNNNNNAUAUUUAUAUAUAUAUAUAUAUAUAUAUAUAUACAUACAUAUUUAUAUAUAUAUAUAUAUAUAUAUAUAUAUAUAUACUUUUAACAAUAAACGUGUGGUCAUCAUCGUCAUCAUCAUCAUAUCGUACCCUGCCUCAAAGAAGACUCAAUAAAAACAUACCUGGCCAUCAUAAGGCUCGGUUGAAUUACCCGGCCAUGUGGAGCUUAGCAAAACCCAACUGAUCAGUGGUUGCACAAUAUGUGUCGCACCUUGCUGACUAUGGUGCAGCUUGGUAGAGUAAAAUAGAUACAUAUAUAUAAUACAUGUAGGACUAAUUGGAAUCAUAUUCUGAUCCUUUUAGAGGGACAUAAGGUCAAUAUUCUCCGUACACGUUAUUAGGAAUAAUCCUUCAUCAAGAAUUUUAUAAGAAUCAGGAAGUACCAAAAACAUCGAUAACAUAAGAAUAAGAAUAAAGAAGAAACCUCAACAUCCGUUGUUCCAUACGAAAGGAAACAAUGUAAGUACUGCUAGCUUCAUUGGAUUAUGUACAAUCGAGGUCAUGCAAAAAAAGGAAAAGUAUAGCCUCACAUACCUUGUAUAUACUGCCAAUCCUCAGGCUAUGCAAAUGUCAUGACUCCUUAGUGUACAAUAGGAGAAAUUACACUAUCGGUAAUGUUUAACCGUCAUAACUAUAAUGUACCGACCACAACCGAUUUUAUGAUGAAAUAGAUAUAAACAGUCAAGUUACAACUCGUACAAGCAUAGAUAAUGAAAGGAGAAGCACAAACUUACCUUGGACUGAGUAGAACCACGAAACCUAGUCCUUCUCCAUCUAAAAAUCAGUCCCCCAACAGAACUAUAUUAUGGAGAAAGAGAAACUAGCUAGAUGUCCGAACUUUUCGGCGCUAGAAUCGCAUCGUAACAUCCUUGGGUUUAUGUGAAAUCUUUUUGUGGGGAGAAGUUACAGCGGUGAAAUUUUAUUCUCAUGGUUUGAAAGAUGAGAGAAUUAUAUGAGUUUAUAAGCCCUUAUAUGUCCCCUCUUUUCCGACUUUGGGGUUUUUAAUUUUGUCCACUCCUUUUGGCAAGUAGGUGAUGCACCGGCUUGUCACCUACUAAUCUAUGCUGGCUCGUAAAAAUUUAAUAAUCUCUUUACUCAGAUACCGUAUAGAUGAAUGGUUAAAUGCACUAAAAACUAGACUCAUAGAUCUGUAAUUUGGUAUGUAUAUAAUGCCUUUGUUCCAAGUAUGUUGGGAGAAAAGUACAUCUACAUUUUACCUAAAUUUCAGCAUAUUAUGAAUGCAACUUGUGAUGACCUUUGUCAACGUUUUGUUCCACAACACGCUUGACUUAAAAACAUAACACAUUAAUAUCAUACAUUUUGCCAACGUUUGGUUCCAGAACACGCUUGACUUAAAAAUAUAACACAUUAAUAUCAUACAACUAAAAUAACUCAUAACUUAACCUCCUCAUCAGGUUAAUAAUCCUAGUCUCACCCCAAAAGUAUAUGUUAUAAUAUUCCAAACUUGUGGACUUUCGAUGAAACUUAUUUUCUUCAAUACAUUUAGUGUCUAAAAUACAUAACUACAACAGUUUAAUUAAGCCAGGUGUGAUAAAGCAACCAUAUUAAAACCACAGAAUUCAGGAGUGCUUAACACCUUCUCCCGGAUUAAUAGAAUUCCUUACCCGACUUUUUGGUUCCUGCUUUCGAUGAAACUUAUUUUCUUCAAUACAUUUAGUGUCUAAAAUACAUAACUAAAAUAGUUAAUUAACCCAGGUAUGAUAAAGCAACCAUACUAAAACCAUAGAAUUUAGGAGUUCUUAACACCUUACCCCGGAUUAAUAGAUUUCCUUACCCGACUUUUUGGUUUUGCGGAUUUUAAAUAGAGUCAAUUUCCUUGAAUUGGAAUUUUUAAGUAAAUGGUGAUUUGGGACACCGUAAAAAUUUAUUUCAAGUGGCGACUAUUUAAAUUAAAAUAAAUUAAUCCCUUUCAGAUAAUGUCACUUGAAUUGGAAAAACUCUUUUUUUUUCUAUCUCCUCGAAAAAUUCCAAGUGGCGACUCUUUUAAUUAAAAUAAAUUAAUCCCUUUCAAAUAAUGUCACUUCAAUUGGAAAAACUCUUUUUUUUUUCUCUCUCCUCGAAAAAAGGAGGUGUGACACAUAUGACGACUCUGCUAGGGAUAACAAGAACUCUAGCUUGAUGUAUUAUUGUAUUUUUUGGCCUAAUCUGCUAAUUGCCGCUUAUUUACCACUUUGAUAUUAUUUGAAUUGUAUUAAACUAUCUUCUUAUGCCUCCGUCCUAUGUCUUCUGAAUUUAUGGUGCACACGUGGUCGUGGCCCACUUUUCUGUUAGAAGUCAUACCAAUUAGAAUGAGGCUGGGUCAAUUAACUAGGCCGGGUAGACUUUCGUGCUCCUGCUACGUUGCCCCCAUCUCGGCUCAAGCUGUCUGCUUGAGUAAGCCCUGUCUAAAAUACUCCCCCGAGGAUUUAAACCUAGAAUAACAUAACCUCAUAUUGGAUCCCUAGUAGAAACAUUUGUUUCCAUCAUGUGUAUCUGACAUUUGGAACUCAACACAGGGGUUGGGUCCGUCUAGGUCAUGUUUACUUGAGAAUUGCAAGACCAUCGUGAUGCAUCUUAUGUGUUACUUGUGUAUUAUGGGAAAACUACAAGGGAGGAAAUUUACCCAGUUCAUGAAAAAUCUCAAUGUUUACCCCCAAAAAGAUUAUUACAAAAUAAGCCUAAAUUUUUCAACAAAAGAAGUGUCAUCUAUUCCUAUAACAUGUACGAACUACGCGGGUCUGAACUACGCGGGUCUGAUUCUCACCAGAUGUGAGAUACAUAGGCAACCUCCAUAGGGUUCGGACCCAUCUUGCAAAAAUAAUAUUUUUAAAUAAAGGGGAAAUAUGUCUAGUUUUUUUUAUCCAAAAAAAAUAAGCAAAUGCAGUUUCGGCUAAUCCUCAACCGUCUUUGUUGGAAUAUCUUUAGAACGUCUUCAAAAUUGUCGAGGGCUAUUCUCGCAAGAAUUGACAAGUCCGUCAAUUAGGCAUCACUUAUACCGUCAUGCUCAUCCCGACCCUAAAGUUAUCUUUGGAUGUAUGAAGGGGCCAUAAUUUAAAAAAUCCACCAUCUCAUUGAUUUUUCUUAAAAUAGAGUUAUCUACAAAAGAUUGUUUAAAAAAUUAGUGUAUUGAUUUUGUCUUUUGAGGCUAGUGUCAACCCUAACCUUAAUCACCUACAGGUACGAAAUGAGCACUAUCCAGAACACACCAUUGAUGGUAGUAGAUGAGUUUCUACUUCAGCUUCAGAUGUGGUGGUAUGACUUAGGAGAAGAUGGUCAGGAAUGGGUCACUAAGUAUCUGGAAGCCCGUACAAAUAUUAUGAAAGUUACACCACCUCGAAUGGCGUGAGCCGCAUGCCGAGAGACCCGCACGUACGGUUUUUAGGGGGAUCUUGUCGAAAAACCGGCUGGCGCCAACCCGACAAGAGGGACUGAGAGAUUAAUUGAGUACAAAACUUAUCUUCAAGCUUUACCUUAUUCUGAUCGUUCAGAGUGCGAUCGCGAGUCACUGAAUGAAGUCCUCCGUUUCUUUCGGAGGUGCUGACCCGUAGCGAGGCAGAGAUGACUAAGUGACAUAUGGAAUAUGGAGACGACAACAGCAUGUCGUAGAAGGAGAUAACAGGUGGAUCCAACGACCCACUAACACUAACGUAUCAACAACUACAUCCCCGAGGGGCAGUCAAACGGGGGCGUGAAUGCGAGAUGCCAGCGGAAUGAUCGGCCGUACAGAGGCUAGGGCUGCUUCCUUCCCACCGCGUCCUUCCUUGUGUGUCGGAGAUAUAAAGCGAGUGCACCGGAAAAGAACGGGAACUGGAUCGAUCUAUUCUAUGGUGAAGCAUCCGAAGCAUAACUGCACACUCACACGAUCUUUGCCGAGAGAUAGGAGCAUUCGGUGGAACCGGUGAACUACACUUGCUUCAGAAAACAAUGGGAACUGGAUCGAUCUAUUCUAUGGUGAAGCAUCCGAAGCAUAAGUGCACACUCACACGAUCAUUGCCGAGAGAUAGGAGCAUUCGGUGGAACCGAUGAACUACACUUGCUUCUUGAUAGAUGUGUGGGACAGAGGGCUCAUGGUACCUGCUGCCCACCCUUCCUCCUCUGCUUUGAGAACCGUGUCAACGGAGAGUGGGGAGAAGAGAAGGAGGUCCUCAUACAGAGUCGCACACUUACUUGAGCACUGCGAGAGACUGGGGAAUGGGUCGAAUAAACUCCCAUGGGGUCGGAAAAAUAAUAGACGAAGCUUUACUUAGAUAGGGCUUUGAUUGGAUUUUUUUAUUAGUGAUUGGAAAGGAGGGUGCUUGGGUAUGUUAUAGAAAGGGAAGGCGGAAGCAUCAAAUGGCGAAGAGAGGCGGCUCGGUAGGGAAGGAAAGGGAAAUCGUCAAGGAUGACUUCUUUGUUGGCGGAACGUAGGGCUAAAUAGCGAGAGAGAUUCUCUGAGCCGGUCUGGAUUUCCAAUGCCUCGGGAAACUGGUCGAGAUAGAUGACUGUACCUUUUUCCCAUCUUCCUUACCGGUAGGGCAAUCUUCUCUUAUGGCCUUCACCCCCCGCCCGGAAAUAGAGAACCAAGCCCCUUUCUGAUCCAUUCAUUUCUGCAAGCAGGGAGGAUCCAGAGCGUUGCCCCCUCCUAUUCGAGGUUUUUCCUCGCCCCACAAGCACCCAACCUUCCUUUUGCUCUUCCUUCGGUUUUCCUCUACGAACGCGCCACUUAGAAUCCCUACUCAUAUUCCAAAGGCGCUACUUCAAUUCAAGUGCAAGCCCCCCUUCUAUUGCAUAACUUAAAAAAGCUAUAAACAAAGUACCAAAGUGGUUGAGGGAACGAUACGCUUUGGUUACCGGUGAAGGAUUCCAAAGGCGACCAGCUUUCCAUACUAGUUGUUACCUUACGCUGCCAUUUUCCAAUAUUAUUGAAUAUUAUGGCCCGGGGCCAAGAUAACUCAAGUGGGAGAGCCGUGUUAUGGGUGACCUUAUUGCACAGUUCAAAGAGCACUUGUGUAUGUGAUGCAAGUGAACGUCUACGAAAAAGUUGUCAUAAAGUUUCGUUCUUUGUUCCGUCGUCGACCCUAUCAAUGCUUCUAUGAUGGUCCAAGAACACGCUCAUUCUUCAGCCGUAGAGAGACUUUUGAAUUGCGAGGUACCAUUACGAGCUCAAUAUAUACGAGUGUUAUUCCGUGAAAUAACUCGAAUUUCAAAUCAUUCACUUGCUUUAACUACUCAUUCUUCAGCCGUAGAGAGACUUUUGAAUUGCGAGGUACCAUUACGAGCUCAAUAUAUAAUAGUGUCAUUCCGUGAAAUAACUCGAAUUUCAAAUCAUUCACUUGCUUUAACUACUUAUGUUAUGGAUGUAGGAGCAUCAACUCCGUUCCUGUGGGCUUUUGAGGAGCGGGAGAAAUUGUUGGAAUUCUAUGAAAGAGUCUCGGGAGCCAGGAUGCAUGCCAGUUUCAUACGACCAGGUGGAGUGGCACAAGAUAUGCCUCUUGGCUUAUGCAUAGAUAUUGAUUCGUUCACACAACAAUUUGCUUCUCGUAUCGACGAAUUAGAAGAUAUAUCAACCAGCAACCGUAUCUAGAAACAACGAUUAGUGGAUAUUGGUACUGUCACUGCCCAGCAAGCAAAGGAUUGGGGAUUCGGUGGUGUAAUGAUAAAAGGUUCUGGGGUAUGAUGGGAUUUGCGAAAAGCAGCACUUUACGAUGUUCAUGACCAAUUGGAUCCUGACAUACCAGUAGGUACCAUAGGAGAUGACACGCUGGAGUUGGCUUCUGGCACAACAAGGUGAUGCCUUAUCGCACCGUAGGCGAACGCAGUAGCGUUCGUGGUGGUGCUUCAGGAUUCCAAUGUACUGCGUCCAAGAUCAGAACAAGCUUGCCGGCGGACCACUGCCGUCCCAUUAUUGAGUGAGCUGGAGCGCAGCCAUCUUAUCCACUGAACUAGCUAGAAGCUAUCGCUUCGGGUCGAAGCACUAAAAGAAAAGGACCGGGAAACGCGGCGGCAUAGGAACCACGGGACCCCCUACUAGUAAAGGGAAAAUGGAAGUGCGCUCCUGCGCACCAGCUGAAAAGGCCCUUUCCCUUUUUAAUAAUAUAAGGUAAGCUUUUGGGACCGCUUACUAGUAAAUGGAAAAUAUAAGUGCACUCCUGCGCACCAGCUGAAAAGGCCCUUUACCCUUUUAACAAUAUAAGGUAAGCUUUAUAGCUCGAACCUAGUCAAGGGGCUUUGAUGCCCUUUGUCUAGGUUGGGUCAUUGGAUAUGGGAUCCUCGUAGAAGGCUGGACCAAGAUCCAGCCGAGAGAGGGCAGUCUUUAGAAACAACAGUUUGGGAAAGCAAGAGAACGCUUCGCGUUUUCUUAUCUUCUUCCCGCCCUAGAAGUAGCACAAGAAGAUGGAUUAGCAUUAUUGACCCAAUUAUAAAGCACAAACACCUUCCUCGUUGGGCCUCCACGCACUGGGAAGAGGCUGACGCGAUGGGAAAUCUGCCACUAGUUACAAAGCUCCAAUAAGGUAUCGAGAGGGCUAUCACAGUCAGGUGCGAAUUGAUUACCCCAAUUUGUAAACUACCCCUCUUCCUAUUUAGGGAGUUGAGGCGAAAAAUGGCUUGAUGAACCGUUCGCCACGCACCGGCCACAUUCACUUGCUAAAUUUUUAAACUACCCAUCUUCCUAUUUAGGGAGUUGAGGCGAAAAAUGGCAUGAUGAACUGUUCGCCACGCACCGACCACAUUCACUUGCUUAUCGUAGAGGCUGUGAGUACAUAAUGCCCCACAAGUAGGCUGCUUUUUCCGGAACGCAGUCCGAGAUAACCGUAACCGUGUAUAAAUAGAAAUAUGUCUUCCAUGCUAUCAUUUCGAAAUGUCCGCUUCAACCUCUGUUUCACCUCCCAAAGAGCAAAGUUGGCUUGAUGAGCACAGAUGAGGAAGCGUGAGCAAGAAAACCAAUAAUCUCUUUCUUGUCCUUCUACUUAAGGUUAAGGGGCAAAGAGAAGCGCUUUUGCUACUGAGAAAGCGAACGGUCAGCAUGAAGGUUCAAGACUUAGCCGAGCGUUAGCGAAGCUAGAUUCUCAUAGCGAGGCGCUUCGAGUUAGCGAAGCGCUGUAGUAGCUUCGAAGCCCUAUGUGCUAUUAUGCUGCACCAAGGACACUCCACCUUCUCUAUAGAAGCAGUCAACUGAGUUCUGAACGAAUUAGCUACUUGGUAAUGGCUUAAUCUAUAUAUAGAAAGCCCGAUGAUGGGAAACUACCAUGUUAGGUUGGGAGAGAGAUGGGACCUGUUAUAUAAUAGGGGAAGCAGAUGCAAGCUUUUUCUUUCAAUAGCCGGCCAAAUGACUAAAGGAUCAUCGGUCUACUCUACCUCAAUUCACCAUUUUGAACCUUAUACAGAAGGUUUUUCCGUACCAGCUCCUUCUACCUGUACCACAGUUGAAGCACCUAAUGGAGAAUUUGGUGUCUUUCUUGUCAGUAAUGGAAGCAAUCGUCCCUACCGUCGUAAAAUAAGAGCACCUGGCUUUGCCUAUUCACAAGGACUCAAUUAUAUGUCCAAACAUCACAUGCCAGCAGAUGUGGUCACCAUCAUAGGUACUCAAGAUAUUGUGUCUGGAGAGGUGGAUAGAUAGGACUACUAGUUGCUCGAUCAGGACCCUAGCUUUAUUGCGAGCCAAAAACCCAAUUUAUACGCCCUCUUUCUUUAUUUAAGGAGAUUCUAUCAAAUUAUCCGCCCCGAUGCAGAAAGGAAUAAAGAAAGAAGAGUUGAAGACGGCUUAACAGUAAGAGAGAACCCUCUCAUCUCAUGGCUAGGAACAUCUAUGUAGAUGGGAUUGGAUUCAUUGUGCCAGUUAGGGGUAGGUAUAAACCUUCAUUCAUCUUCUUCUAUCUUCCUUGGAAUAUCCAUCAUCUUGGUCUCGACCUUGUUGAGCUCUCCCUGAUCGAAAGUUCCUAUUUUGCUGCCUCUUCGAUCGUCUCCGACUCCCUAAAAAAUAAGAGUACUUGGUGACCUAGAUGGUAAGGUUCUUUUCUUACCUUAGCUGAGCCUUAUGUCCCUUCAACAUCCCUAUUCCUCUUGCCUUGUCUUGGGCACCGCAGUGGACUGAUUAUCCUAUAUGUAAUAUCUACCCUAAAGAUUAAGAGGAUAGAGGGUCUCCCUUCCAUAGAUUUUAUUGGGAUUGAUUCUCAGGAUCGAGCCCUUAUCAGAGGUGUGCCUACCGACACCUAUCAAAGUCUUCGGCUUGCACGAUGUCUCCUUCCAUUUGCUCCAGCUAUAAAAGAAAAGAAUGGGGGCAACACUUUAUUCUCUUCUGCCACUCUUUGUUUACUUCUGGCCUUCCCGAACUCCUAGAUGGGCGGAGUCAGAUCUUGGAAUAAGCUCCUUUCCAUGGGCAAUCUACUCAAGAGCUUAGGCCCCUAAUUUGGUCUAUGUCUAGGCUGCUGCUGUACUCAAAGGCGAGGGGCUCCAAAAGCGGAUGCGAUCAUCCUUAGAGGAGAGGGGAGGCAACUUGGGAUUCUAGGCAAAGUGCUUUUUUUGUAAAUAGGCCUUCGUAUAGGAUAGGAUUUUCAUUCCUCCCGCCAAAGCUAGAAAAGAAAGGAGCUCUCUCUUUUUUCCAGCCUUCUUUUUAUUUUGAAGGAAUAUAGUGCGUUCUCGCUUUCAGCGGGAAUUCAAGUCAAAAUUUUGUACAAGGAGGAAGGGCCUUCUUUUUAUUUUAAAGGUAUAUAGUGCGUUCUUGCUUUCAGGGGGAAUUCAAGACAAAAUCUUAAUACAAGGAGGAAGCGAAAGGCUAUCUACCAGGUAUGAUAUAGAGUAUGACUAUAAAAAAUCAUAGAGCAUUAUGGAGCAUGCCCAUCCCAUUUGAGCUUCCCCUUUCCUAAGAUCCUGGACGUGGUACUGACGCAUGAACUUGGUUACUAGUUUGACCGCUUUGUUGGCAUAUCAAGUAAGGAAAGGUCUGUUCAUUUGUCCAGAAAUAUGUUUUCGGCCUAUCUAUCGAUUGAACCAGGGGCUGGGCUACCGGUCCUACCCCGGCUUAUUACGAUAGGACCUUCCCUUAUCCCGGAUGACUUGAGCUUGUCUUGGCUCUUUUCUUGGACAACUAGGACUUUGCUUAGACUGUUUGGCACGCUUAGCUUUCGAUCGAGAAAGACGGGAAAUUGUGAAAGCGGGCUUAUUCCCCCAUGUCUUACCUAUAAAAAAAGGAAGGAACUUAUUAGCAAAGAUGGCUUGCUUGCAUACCUUCUCCGAGAUAUGGAAAGGGGGUUCAGAUUCAUGCUGGCAUUAAAUGAAGCGCUUUUAGCACACACCUAAACAAUCGUGUACUUGGGAGCCCCGAGACAUUCUUAUAGAUACAGAGUUCUCGUACUGCUAAGGGAGGAAUACACUUUACCAAGGAUCUACUUAACUAGCAAAUGAGCAUUUCAUACUUUCCCACGCUACUUCCAAGUCCAAUAUAGGUCUUUCCAGUAAAAGGAGGUCGUGUACCAUAGUUUGAGUUAAAAAGAAGAAAGGGGUUGCGAUAGAAAGAAAGGGCACAAGAGAAGAAAGAUACGACAUUCGUUGGAACAAAAGAGAGCAACAAAAAACAAGUUAAGCAAAGAUCUGGUUGAUUCCAUUCGUCAUUCACUAAGGGAAAUGACUCUCGAUUGAGAAAAAACUUGCCACCUUUUUUGUAUCCAUUUCGCGGAUUAGGUUCCAAGCGAAAGAUACCAAAAGAAAGGGAGCGCGCUAUAGGACACUAGCUGGCCUUUACUUGGGCCCAUCCCAAGCUCCCUGCUAAAUUUAGGUUCCAAGCGAAAUAUACCAAAAGAAAGGGAGCGUGCAAUACGACACUAGCUGGCCUUUACUUGGGCCCAUCCCAAGCGAAAUAUACCAAAAGAAAGGGAGCGCGCAUCACUUGACUGUUUCGUUUGUUUGAUCAAGCGGAUUGAUAGCGGAUCGAAGGGAGUGCGAUAGGGCAUCAACUAUCCGGGUUGGUGCCGGACUCCUUUGUGAAUCAGUCCCUUUCCUUGUAUUGUUCGGUUAGUUGAUCGAGAAAGCGGCAGGACCGUAAAGCUUAGCCUUGAGUUGGACUGCGGUCCCGCGAAGCUGGUAUCCUCAGACCGCCUAAGAGACUUUCCGACUGUCGAAGGAAGGAAGUUCACUUUUUAGUGACCAGAAAUUGACUAGUUUAUUUAAUUGACUUAAAGAUCUUUCUUUAUAUUUUACUAGUUAAGGCCUUCGAUCAUCUGUCGGUGAGGUCGAUCGAAAAAGUGAAAGCUUCAUCUAUCGGUGAGGUCGAUCGAAAAAGUGAACUUGAUGAAACCCCGACUUUUUACCAUCAACCACUUUUUCCCAUCACAAGUAAUGUUAUGAACUUUCACUCCCAAUCUAUACUAGAACCUCGAGCCUCUUUCUUCUUUCUGUGCUGCAGGCGUUGAUUGAUGGGAUAAAUGAAGCACGAUGUGGAAUCGAACCACAAUCUUUUUCCUUACAUGGCUAAGUCGAGAGUGAAAAUCUAGACUCAAAAGCAUACGCUUGUUAGAAGUGAUCCCCGCCUCCCCUUUUUGUCUAACCCAUUCGUUCACAGCUUCGCCACUCUACCGAGGGUCGAGCUACCACGCUCUUGAAACCUCGUAAAUUCGCUUUUCUUCAAUGAGAAUAUAAAGAAAACAUUCGUUCACAGCUUCGCCACUCUACCGAGGGUCGAGCUACCACGCUCUUGAAACCUUGUAAAUCGCUUUUCUGCAACGAGAAUAUAAAUAAAACUAGCAAUUUCGCUCAAGUAAGUCGGCUGUAAGUGGUCGUGCUCUCGCUACCAGAAGCUUGGCAGCGACAAAACGCAGUUCCACCCCUAACUAGAUUGCGCCUUUGAGGUUUUGAAAGGCGUGAAAGUUCGAGUCUAGGGACGAAGUGGCUUAGUUGAACAUAGUGAGACUAAGGGACGAAAGGUCAAACCCAGAAAUGUGCAAGCGAGACCCAGCAAAAAAACUUUUUCGCGCGAAAGCCGUUGCUUGUUCCAUAAUUUGCUGGGAUGGGAAGUAUAGAUAGAAAGGCAGAAAAGGAGGCGUCGGCUCGGCAAGCGAGACCCAGUAAAAAAACUUUUUCGCGCGAAAGUUAUUGCUUGUUCCAUAAAUUGCUGGGAUGGGAAGUAUAGAUAGAAAGGCGGAAAAGGAGGCGUCGGCUCUGAAAUGAUGGAAGAUUGAAUCAUCCCUUCAUUCUAUUCCGGCUAUUCCAUUCCGGAGAGUGAUAUAUUCAUGAGCUAGAGAGAUAAGAGUUUCGAUUCGCAGGCUGGAUAUAGAAAUUGUGCCCUAUCUAUGUAUAGUAGUUUCUAGCUCUGCAACUAAACUAAAGGCUCUGGAACAUAGUAUAUGCCUUGAACUGGUGAUGCAGAUAAUGCGGUAUCUCUUGGAAUUGGAGCGACUCCUGAUGAAAUUUACCAAGUCAAAGCAAGGGGUUGAAAAAGCACCACAUGGGACGGGAACAACGUCCUGACUAAACAAGAGUUUCUUCAAUAAUGGCUUGGUCGAAAGUCGUAAAGAAGGCACCGGAUAAGCAGCUAACAUAAACUACUACCGUACAGCGCAUCCCGUGGGCGGCCUUCAAAGGCUAUCAUUUGUAGGACGAGACGCUAACCUACGCCCGUACAUUUCAACCUGUCUCCUUGGGACUUAGCUCUGAAGAUGAAUUCCCGGUUAGCCGAUUACCUUGCCCGGUUAGGAGAACAGUUAGAAGUAGGAAAAGAUGCCGACACCGAACAGUUAAAGAAUUCUCCGUCCAAUGAAUUCCCGAUUAGCCGAUUACCUUGCCCGGUUAGGAGAACAGUUAGAAGUUGGAAAAGAGGCCGACACCAAACAGUUAAAGAAUUCUCCGUCGCUUCAAGACUGCCAGCCUAUUCGCUUUGAGCCGAAGCAGACGCUGCCCAUGGAGAGCCUUUUCCUUUGUGAACAUUUGUGUGCCCAUAAUACAUGACAAAAGUUGGGCUUCUAGACGCCUUACAAUAAAUAAGCCCCUCUACCCCCUACUCUAGUCAGCUUCUAUCUCUUUCUCCAACUUUUGAUGAUCCUCCUACAGGCAAAUCAUCGAAGUCAAGAAGAAGUGAUGGGCCUGAUCUUCCGAUAUUGAUAUCUGAUCCCUAAGUUGAGCACCAAAGUCUGGAUUUCUUCCUAAAGCUAAAGUAAGGAAAAGGCCCCGGUCGGUUCUCCCUUUCUUUCCUGGUUAUCUGUUCUCUAGUCGUAUAAUCAUACCAUUCUGCCAUACUAUUUUCAUAAUUCAUUCCACGUGGAAAAUCGUCUAGCUAGGGAACUCUUCAUCAGACGAUUUCUCAUAUGAUUAUUUUCGUGAAUUCGACGUAGAAGAAGUUCGCCUUGCCUCCCUUUAUUAAGUACUGGGCUAAGGGCGGACCCCUAACCUAAGAGUUCUGGUUAUGACCAGCCGAAAGAAGUUCGCCUUGCCUCCCUUUAUUAAUAUGGGCUAAGGGCGGACCCUAACCUAAGAGUUCUAGAUAUGACCAGCCGAAAACAUGCCCUCUAGAUGCCAUAUAAUCGUCCUUUCAGCCUAUUCCCGCUUAUGCGUACUUCAUGGCUGAUAGGCCUACAGACGCUUUACACCCCGGAAUAGCCUUGCUUUCGCGUUCCCCCUCCUUCCGUAGAUUAGGUUAGCACUUAUGCUGCAUCACGCAACUAUAUUCAAUCAAUUGAGUAGAGAGGGCAAUUCAAUCAGUCGUCAUCCUUCGCUCUUGUGCUAAAGGCUCUCUUACCACAGGUUUCCAUUCCAUCCUUUUUCGAAUGGGUAGAUGCUUUUCUCCUCAUAUUUUCUAUUUAGUCGGCACUCGUGUCUGUCGAGUACUUUUAGUGGUCUUGCUCUUCCUUCCUCCAUUGCUGAGGUUAGCUCUGUAUUUUUGUCGUGUACUUUUUCUCUCUUUCCAAUUUGAAGGAUUAAGUCUUCCGCUAACAUAACUAAAAAGAAAGGAAAGCAAGGAAGAGGAUUAAGCUCUGUCCGAGAAGAUCGGGUAUUCAACUUCAUUCAUGCCGAGCGGCAAUAAAUGUACUUUUUUGCCUCGACCGUUCUUCACUUCAGCCUGACAGGCUCCUCAAGGUCAUAUAGCCCAAGUCCUUUGCUUCUUUGUAAUCGGACUGUACUUUCUCUUUCUUAUCUCACCAUUGGUGACAGUGACGAUUCUUUGCAGCGUAGAAGAAGACUUCCGGGCUACCCUGUGAAAUAUGAGGAAAAAACCUUCCAUUGAGAGGACGAAUGUCGCUCCAGAUUUAUAAACACCUCUGCCUGAGAAGGUUGUUGUAAUGCAGGAAGUGGCAUCUUUACCGAGAGUUGAAGUAAUUCUCCCCCAGCCCAAGUUUAGAGAUUUCGUCAACGGGGUCAUGCUCUUUGCGAUAGCAUUGACCGUCAAUCACUUAGCUUUCGACAUUAGGAUUCGGAGGCUUUCGCUGGCGGGCUUUCGUCAUCCAUCACUGUCUGGGCUGGGCCGUCAUUGUAAAGACGUGCAUCUGUACGCACUAGACUCCUUUAUAUAAUGGCUUCUUAUCAGCAAAUACCCCCUUCUCAUCAACAUAUUUGAAGCAUUGAUGAAGCGUGGAACUUUCUCAGUCCCAAAGUGCGCUAUUCGACUCUCCAGCCCUUCUCAUAUAACUCACUGAUGAAGGGUGGAACUUUUUCAGUCCCAAAGUGCACUCUUCGACUCUCCAACCCUUGACUUUAUAGAACUGGCGACAUUUUCUCAUACCUUUGCUAAGCAUGUCCUUUAGGGCCUCAAUGACGUCACCCUCAUUGCAUAAUUGGUGACAUAGGGGGGAUAGCUGGACAGAGAAAUUAGCCUUCACAGGGCUCCCGUAGGGUCUAUUCCACCAACAAAAACAGGGGCAGGAACGUCUUUCAUAGGUGAUUCAACAACAGCCAUUCUUAUUAUUCUCCCGGGAUCAGAAGCAGAAGGCUAAACCUAAGGCAUCCUUUCUCCUUAUUAUUUCUCUUAAAUAAGAGAUAGCACCAGCCUAAUCCAAGAAUGUUGAUUCUUCUCUUUCAAAAGACUUUGGCUAUUCAAAGCAAUCCGCCCAAUGAGCUACGGCUAGAUGAGCUAAUGCCAGGGGAUUCCUCUCUAGAAAUUUCUUAAUAAAAGAAGACAGGAUAUUAUACCUCUUUAUAUAUGCCAACUGCAACUGAUUCCACUUGAGCAAGAGCAGCUUGCCCAAAAAUAAGAAAGAGAUAUGCGAAAUCAACCAAGACAAGCACACCACAAUCAACCGGUAAUCCCGCAUCUGAUUGUUCAUUGGGUGCGGAGGAAGAAAAUGUAGAAAAAGAACAAGAAAGAAAGGGAGAGUAAGCAAUCAAGUCUGUUAGUGAGUAUGGUAAUCUGGAUAGGCAGUCUGGUGGGAGAUAGAAUACCACCUUUCUUAGGUNNNNNNNNNNNNNNNNNNNNNNNNNNNNNNNNNNNNNNNNNNNNNNNNNNNNNNNNNNGAGAUAGAAUACCACCUUUCUUAGGUGGGUAUGAGUGUAUCUUGAUAGCCCAUGAUCAAAGAGAUAGGUAUGAGAAAUUCAAAUGAUAACGAAAUUAAUUGAAAGAUUAACACGGGACCUUAGAUUGACAUCUUAGAGUGCAUUCCAUAUGUAAAAGGUGUCACCAUCAUGUUGAUGUUGCGGAAGUCAUUAUUGAAGAUUAGUCGAAUUAUUUCAGGACUGGACUGAACCACUCAUUCAUAGGUAUUUUCCCGGCCCCAUAUGAAACUUCCUUAUCCUCGUCUUAGGUCAAAGGAUGCUCAUUUCUAAUAGAAAGAAGGCUUGAAAGCAAGCGUAAUGGAGCCCAACUAGCACACUACGACAACGAACAAAAACGACUACGCUAUGACGCUUUGUAUAGAUAGCAUUGAAGCUCUUAUUAGUCGAGCAGUGCUCACUAGUCAUGUUGGGAAGGCCCAACGAACUAUAUUGGUUGGGUUCUCCUGAGUAGACGACAAGAACAUAGGACGGUGGUGAGAAAGAAAUCAAGAUCUUCUGUCAAAGGCUACUAGCUUUCCACUGUUGGUAAUCGAUCUAGAUGCCAAGAAUCAGACAAGGAACUGACACUUGACUGAAAGCGUUUAUAGAUAGCAUUGAAGCUCUUAUUAGUCGAGCAGUGCUCACUAGUCAUGUUGGGAAGGCCCAACGAACUAUAUUGGUUGGGUUCUCCUGAGUAGACGACAAGAACAUAGGACGGUGGUGAGAAAGAAAUCAAGAUCUUCUGUCAAAGGCUACUAGCUUUCCACUGUUGGUAAUCGAUCUAGAUGCCAAGAAUCAGAAAAGGAACAGACACUUAACUGAAAGAGUUUUUGCCGUGCGCAUCGACGUAACCGCGGCUAAAUAAAAUAAGGAUGAUAGAAGUAGCUGCAAUUGCUAUUGAAUCUACUACUCAUGGAAGGUUUGACGAAGUGCCAGUACCAUUUCAUUUUGCAUAACGCUUUCUUGGGCAAGUGAAUAAUAGCACAGAAAGGUUAAUAAAAGUAUGUCUUAUUUUGCUCCUUCCUCAGGUGAAAGCGGUCUUGAUGCGGAACUAGCAGUUUUUCUUAAAUCAAUUCCAUUAUGUCUUAUUUUGCUCCUUCCUCAGGUGAAAGCGGUCUUGAUGCGGAACUAGCAGUUUUUCUUAAAUCUAUUCCAUUUCAACUCCCCUUUAUCAUUCGACUGGCUAGAGUAGCGUAGCAAUUACCAUGUCUUACACUUUUGGUUUUGCGGCUUGCUUGCUGUAAAUGGACAGAUUCCCUUAUGCACGAAUAGGUCUUGCUAGAAUCAGUUCUUUCAAAGGCUUGUGCAAGAACCCGAUUCCCAUUUCGCUUAGGACAAGACUGAAGGUUUAGGAAGAAAUGCCACAUCGUCAACUGGCUGGAAAGUGGAUGCAGAAUUACCAAUUGACCAAGAUUCCCAAAGGCCCCUACUGAGAGAGACGAGUGCGCUCAAGCGGCUAAAGCCCGGUCUUCUCCUGUGAUGAGGAGGAAGGGGCAUCCGAGACAGUUUCCACCUAAUUGAUUGAACCGCUAGAGACUUCCUUGGGCGAGUAGCACUCGCGGAUAAGAAGGCUUUAGUAGUGCCAAUUUUCACUAUUCUAAGUAAUUUCUGUAGUUAAAUGCUUUGGUCUCGCCCUUGCUUAAUUAAAGGCUAUUCACCCAAAGAUACGUGUUUGGACUAUUCGUAUCUACCAUAGUGGAAUAGCUGUUGUAGUAAGACGUUGUAAAGAGAAAGAGGGGUCCUUGUCUUACUUCUUAAUGGCGUCUCUUAGGUGCCAUCUUCGGAGAAUUGUUCGCUUUGGCCUUUAACAACUUGCUGGUUGACACAGCAAUUAAUGUGCCAUUUGUAAAAGGGAAAAUUGCGGAAUAGGGAAAUGGGAAGAUGCCUGCAAGCAGACUCAAUCUCAAUCAAAGAUUAUUCUACGAUCUUUUUCAAAAAACUGAAGGAAUCGCUAAGAGAUAGAUUGAAAUAGGGUUAGAGGGCGUACAGACUAAGAGCUAUGGGACUUGAACAAAGACGAAUUCAAAAUACAAUUGACCGACAACAGAAAAAAUACUACAGGGAAGACACGACCGAAUGCGGCCACGGAGAGAGUUCGUCAAGCACUAAAAGGCUUAUUCGCGGACGGAUUGAUUGGCUGACUGAAGACAGAAGUAAAUCACCAAGCAAGACGGAGAUUUUAUUGACUUGAUAGAUGCUAGUGACGGACUAGAAUGAAAAGCUUGGGCAAGGCUUGGAUUACUGCAAAAUCAUAAGGUGGGGAAUGGACAGCCCGGAAAGCACAGCCGGAUUGGCUAGUUCGGUUGACAUACUAGAAUGAAAAGCUUGGGCAAGACUUGGACUACGGAAAAAUCAUAAGGUAGGGAAUGGACAGCCCGGAAAGCACAGCUGGAUUGGCCAGUUCUGUUCCCCGUUCUCCUUCCAUAUACUUAUAGGCAGCCGUAAAUGAUAAAGCUUCCAUAGCAAAACCCGAACUUUAGAGAUUAGACAGGAACUGGCCUUUGCUUUCGUCACUAUAGUACGAACCCCAGAAUUUGCACAUGUAUUAAGGAAAUCUUUUUCAAUAGUCAAUCGAGACCGAGUCUCACUCCUGUACGUGGUGUGACGGUAGCUAUGGAAUCAUGUCCGGCUGUGACCGAGUCAGGGAUGGUAUCAGAGCAGCUUCAACCCACACUUGAUCAAAAGGAGGAGGCGUCCUAAACACAGUUGAGGAAAUUGAGCACCGGUAAGUACCGUGUGAAUCCCCCGGGGCAUUCACUAUUCCUAUUUUAAGGGUUAGGUCUAUCCCCAAGUGUUUUCCGCCUUCUUUUAGCCUCAGUGAACCAAGUUCAGUGAUCCAAUCAGCCUGAAUCGGUCAAAAGAAACUCUAACUCGAAUGAUGGGAUCUAAACUUUCUCGAGAGCUUGCUAAAAGUGAUUCCGUCGAGAGAUCUUGCAAGUCCAAGAUCAGCUGUUCAAUGAAACUCUGUAAAGAAGGGCCUGAAGCUUUGGCUCAUUAGGCUUUGACAUGGCAUAAAGGAAGGGAAGCAUUUCGCUGACCUUCAAGAUCCUUGAUUGAGUAGAUCCAAUUGAGAGGGAGUUGAAGUUCUUCGAGGGGAAAUAGACUUUUUGAGUUUAGGGGCAUACCUUAUAGGAGUAAAGGCUAUAAGUCUAAAGGAAGAGUUCAUAGGCAGAUCGAAGUCAAAGCAAGGUUAAUAGCAGUAAAGCAUUAGGCUAUGGCAUUCCACUUUAUUUGCUAUCUAUCCUUGAUGAAGGAAGGCAAGUCAGCGGUCAGGCUACUGCGAAUAUAUAGAGUCUCUCCCUUGAAAAAAAUACGCUAUUUUCAUUCAUUAGCAGUACUUCGGUCAAGGAAAGACAUCUGCGCUGAUAUCUCCGUUCUUCCAUGCUUACUUAUGCGCCAACAAGCCUAAAGAAACUAGCUCUUGCAGUUGUAGCUAUGGUCAAGCCAGUUCAUGAAUGGGACCAUUAGGUUUGUGGUAUUCUAAAGAGUUCCUCAACUAAGUAGUUAAGGAAGCUCCUGAGUUUCGGAUGUUCUAUUAGGGUUAGAAAUAGAGGUGAUAAAACCUGUUACUAGCAUACUUUAAAUUACAACAGUUGAUGACGGGUCUAGAGACCUUUUUUACUUGAGAAAGCUCUUAUAGGAGAGGGUGUUGAGGUCCUCUUACUAGUUCCUACUUCGCUUCAACAAUGUAGCUGAAUAUUGUUGUUAGAGCUAGUUGCCACUUUGUAGCUGUUCUCCUUCCUGGUGCUCUUUGGACUUGGACUCCUGAAAGUCCAAUAAGAUGAUCAUGAAGAAGGGGCUACGGUCCUUUAAGAAGUAAGCUCUUCCGGACUGAGCUGAGGGGAUAAUCUAUGACUUAUUGAGUUCCCGUCCCGCUAUUCCUUUAUGGAAUGAGCCCGUACCGUAAUGCCUUAAUNNNNNNNNNNNNNNNNNNNNNNNNNNNNNNNNNNNNNNNNNNNNNNNNNNNNNNNNNNNNNNNNNNNNNNNNNNNNNNNNNNNNNNNNNNNNNNNNNNNNNNNNNNNNNNNNNNNNNNNNNNNAAUUCAUUGAUUUCACUGUCAGGCUAGCUCACUGCCUCACACCACUCUUAAGAAUUGGCACCGCACCCUAACCCUCUGGUCACUUCACUUGGCUUUCAUCCCUGACUUGUUUUUAUUUAUACCCUGGUUUCUAACGGUUAACUACUUCGGUGACCAUUUCCUUGCGGAUAACAGGAGCAACAGAAAGACUAUGUACCAGAGCCCUCACAGUCGGGACUGAUACAGGACUAAUGUUGACCUGACCUUUCUUAAUUAUAAACUGCUUAGCAAACUCUAGGCGUCCACAAUCCCCGAUCAGAGAUCAAAGACUUUUAUUUUGAUAUGGUCAUCUGAAGCUCCUCCAUGGCUUCCUCGUAAAUUUCUACUACGUGCCUAUCCCUAAUGACAAUGUCAUCACCGAGAAUAGCGUACUUCAGAAACCUUUGCUUUUGGAGUAACACGAGCCUGGAUGAACAUGAAUUUCUUAUAGAAAGAAGAGCCGCAUUGUAAGAAAAUGCAUAGCAGCAGUAGUAGCAGACGAAUCUGCUAGUAUUACAGCUAAAUGAACAUUGCGACCGUCUUAGCCUUACCUUUGCGCAUGCCCCGAUAGCGGAAUCGAUAGAUGUUCUCAUGGAGCGGAAACUAGGUCUAGUGCCAUAAAAGGGAGAGUCUGAUGAUAAGUUGAAGCUGCUCUGCUAAUGCCCUGGCCAAGAGACGACUUAUAUCUACAUCCAUCCUCAUAGUAAGAAAAAGCCAGUGAAAGCUCUCUUCUAGGCGCUUAUUCCCACUCAAGCUUAACACAUAAUUUGUGGAAAUCUUCAUUCUGUACAUCUCCUCGUCAAAUUUGGCAUGAGCUCGCAGCCUAGAUUAUGGGGGAGAAUGAAUGGCUCUGUGACUCCAUAUUUCNNNNNNNNNNNNNNNNNNNNNNNNNNNNNNNNNNNNNNNNNNNNNNNNNNNNNNNNNNNNNNNNNNNNNNNNNNNNNNNNNNNNNNNNNNNNNNNNNNNNNNNNNNNNNNNNNNNNNNNNNNNNNNNCUGAGAAAAGAAGUCAAGGAAAAAAGUGACUCCAUAUUUCUCCUUGAAGGGAAAGCAAAGCUACGUCUCUCAAAAGGGCUUACCCGACCCCCCCUACAUCCAUCCCCUAUUUCCUUUUCUCAUUUAUGGAGCGACAUGUGCGUAGGUUUGAAUGACAGGGUUUGAUUGGUUUCUCAUUAAUUCGGGAUCCCUAUCUCAACGGUGCCGAAGUUUGGUUACACCUCGGGCUAAGGGGUCUAUCCUGCGCCCCCAAAAAAAGGUUCCCAGAAAUAGAAUUUCGCACCAUGCUAAAUCUGAGGGUGGCAUAAUAUAAUAGAUAAAGCAGCCGUGGAGUUGCUAAUGAUUUUUUAUUGGAGUUGUGGCCGACCUGGGUUCCAUUCCUGGGGCUCUAGUGUGGCGAACGCCCCAAAAGGAGAAGGAAAAGAGAAUUGGUGAUGGAAGAACAAAAGGUUGGUCAACAAUUUGUUACGUUUGCUUCUACACAAAACGAUUUUGAGGAUGAGCACAGAAAGAUGCAUAAAAAAAACAAUGCGGAAUAACAAGAGGAAGGGCGCUAGUGCAGGAAAAGCAGAAGUUUGAAAGGAUUGGCAUGAUAAGACGAGAUUAAUCUAGAAGAUGAGAAUGUAGAUUCGUGGGUGGCCGAUGUAUAUAUUAAUGAAAUGUCCAGUAUCCUACAAUUUCGCCUUUUUGAUCAACAAGGUAUUGAAUCACUUCAAGGGGGGAACUCCUGGGUUGAGCUUACGAGGACUAUCAUUUCAAGGACGAUCAGUCCGGAUUUGACCGAUGUCGAUAGUCUCGCCACGGCCUAUUUUCUUUUUCUGGAGAAGGUCGUCUAGUGAGAUAAUGAACGAUGCCCCGAUAAUCCUGCAGCUAUGGGGAACAAGGGUUAUCCAUUUCAUAGCGUAGGCGAGGGUGGGUGAACGAAGUGAAUUGCUACGCUCUAACAGUGAGAGACGGGAUCUCGAGCUUAGAGAUUAGCCUCAGGCCGGACAGUGGUCAGGGGAGGAGCACAGACAGAUGGCUUCUUAACAUUUCACUUCUAAUAACCCUCAGAUGUAGUUAGAAGGUGAACGGGGUCACCAAAGCCACGAUAAGAAAGGCUGAAAUCCAGAUCAUGCAUUGCAUAUAGAGCACCCUGGUUCGAGUCCAGCUCGUGACAAGACCUUUGGUCAUUGAAUCUCUCGGCGCCUCUUCUCUUUAGACGGAGGAUGACUCUCCCAUGAGCUGAGACAGCCUCUUUUUCCUAGUUAGGACAUUCGGAUAGAUUAACCCCUAAAGGAGAUCCCAUCUCUCUUAUUCUUUCUCGAGUUACAGGGAAAGGUCACGGCUGCAUUUAGGAGUGAAAGCGAGGGAGUGAGAUUUUUGGGUUCAUUAGGGCAGACUGAAGACCAAGCCAACCUCGAUUAAAAAAGAAAACUUAUUGCAAAUACAAACGUGAACAGAUUCUUUCUCAUUAGACUAUUUUAACCGAUUGUUUAUGUCGACCCAACGCUACGAUUCUUCUUCUCUUAUGAAAUUUCUAGUUAGAUGAACACUGCUCUGCUGCAUGACNNNNNNNNNNNNNNNNNNNNNNNNNNNNNNNNNNNNNNNNNNNNNNNNNNNNNNNNNNNNNNNNNNNNNNNNNNNNNNNNNNNNNNNNGUUAGAUGAACACUGCUCUGCUGCAUGACGGAGUGAUCUAUCCCUCUUAUGAAAGCUGGUAUCUCAUUUUUGAAAGAGAGUCUCGACGUGGCGGUGUAGACCUAGCUCCAUAGUUGGGCUAGUCACUGGCUCGAGGACGAUCGACCUACCGGACCAGAGGCUGCUGAGAAUGUUAUGUAAAAAAGACCAAGGAGGAUCCUAUCCUAAAGGAUAAGGAGGGAGUAGGAUCUAGCUUUAGGGGCGGAAUCGAAUGAUUACGAGAUAAACAAUGAGACAAAGGAGAGAACUUAGACAAUUCACUUUGAGUACAGGGAAGUCUGCUGGUAGGAAUUCCUCAGGGCGUAUUACGGUUUUUCACCGAGGGGGUGGAUCGAAGCGAUUGCAGCGAAGAAUUGAUUUGAAACGAAGCACUUUGUCUAUAGGCAUUGUAGAAAGGAUAGAAUAUGAGACUAAUCAGUCUUCUCGAAUCGCUCCAGUACGAUGGAUCAGGGGAUCCGCCAGAGAAAAUACAAGACGAUAGAAGAGUUCGCCCCGCCGCGUACGAUCCUCGAAUCAACCACGACUACUAUCUGCGGUCCAUUUUGUUCUCUUCCCUGCCCGGGAAGGGGGAUCAAAGAAUGGUAGCUUGCUUCUCUCCUGGACGGAUGGCGACUUAUGUAGUGGUCGGCCUUCCUACCAGAAUUCCUUCUUGGUCGAAGAGCCCCUUUUUUACUAGUAAGGACGCAGGAAUCAAAAAAACUUGCGCGAAGGACGUUUUCUUCUCUACCCUCUCCUCUCCAAAGGCCAAGGGAGAGACUGCAUCCCUUUACUUCGGUAGCUCUUUUGGUUUCCAAAGGAUAGCGGUAGCUGGGGCAAAGCUCGCUUUCUUUGCUCCGCGAAUGAGAGAUAAAGUCAGAGGAAAAAACACGUUCUCUCUUUGCGAGAUCCGAAAGUGGAGAACCCAUAGCAUUCUAUGGGUACAUAGGAUCAAACGUAAAGCAGCGCUCUCUUGGCCAAGUUUUAAGAGGCAAGAGACUUUAGGGCUUUUUGGAGCUUCUGAGCGUACCGAAUCAAAGCCGAAGACGGAUAAAUGUAGCUUGCCUACCAAGCCGAUAGGCGAAGGGCUGAAGGAUGGAACGUGCAAAGUAGAUCGUGAACCUGUCAUGUUACCCGUUGGUCCUAAGCAAUGUCUUGCGCGAAGCGACCCACUUAGAAAAAGCUCCCCUUUUAGAGGAGCACUAAAAUGCAACUUUGAUCGGACGCGGGUAUCAAAUCUCGCCGCUGAGAUGUCCAGCGGAUUCUUGGGCCUUGACGAAUGGCCGGCCACCUUUUAUGUUAGAAGAGCAAAAGGCCCAGGGCAUAGCAAGAUGAACCAAUGUGAUAAGUGUAAGCUUCCUUGCCCGAACACGAUUGGUGCUGACCACACUAUGUGCUACCGUGGUAGCAAAAGAGGUCAGGCAGUGACAAUAGAGAGGUUGUCACUGAGCCAUCCUAGUCACACGGGAAAAGUGGUCAAAUGGUAAGGCCAUACGCCCGUUUGGCUCCUCGCAUAGUAUAUCUCACAUCCUAACAUCUGAUUGCGGAAUGGGGCAACGCCCAUGAAGCUCCGGCGGAAAGGGAAGGCCUGCCAGGCCGUAUGCCCAUGGGUGCAGGAUUCUUCGAAAAAGCGCGGGCUGACUCGGAGACCUGGGACCUUGGCUUAGUAAUGAAUGAAGGGAAGCUCUUCGAGCUUUCUCCGCCAGCGGGAAAAGUGCGGGCUAACCGAAGACCUGGGACCUUGGCAUAGUAAUGAAUUAAGGGAAGCUCUUAGAACUUUCUCCGCCAGCAGCUUAUGUAGUGGUCGGCCUAAUAGAGCUCGCUAAGCCUCGCUUCCCUCUCCCCUUCACUUAUUAAUUAAGUGGAAAAUAGUCGUCGGCAUUCUAUAAGCGACUUGACCGAGUCUACGAAGCUUUGCUUUUCUUGUAGUCGGCCCGUAAUGCCUCCCUUCAUUUGCUUGCCUCCUUUCAGCUCAGAAUGCCUAAUGCCUAUUAUUUAAGAAGCUAACCGCCAUAAGCUCACCCUUCGGGUCUCGCUUCCAGCGCAGGAGGCCAAGCAAAUAACCGACUUGACCGAGUCUACGAAUCUUGGCUUUUCUUGUAGUCGGCCUGUAAUGCCUCCCUUCAUUUGCUUGCCUCCUUUCAGCUCAGAAUGCAUAAUGCCUAUUAUUUAGUGCUAGAAGCUAACCGCCAUAAGCUCACCCUUCGGGUCUCGCUUCCAGCGCAGGAGGCCGAGCAUUCUGCAAGACGUUCCGGCCUGGGAGCCCCGUUCACAUUUGGUACUUCAGUAGAUCUUCUAAAAUAAGAAGCGCUACUUCAGCCUUAACUACAACUACAUUACGCAAGCCCCGCCGAUACCUACCCAUAGAGUCAAAUUAAAAUUAAAAAGUACCAGUGACGACGACUUUCUUGGUUUAUAGAUUCAGUCAGCUAAACUCCAUCAAACUCCUCAAUCAAUAUCAACAAGAUGUCGUGACCGCUUAGGCUUGGUUUACUUUUGUUUGAAUGUAAACUAAAAUAAGCGGCGUUUAUUCAAACAAAGGGAACCGAAGGUUUCCUUGAUUAGUAGUACGAAAGUAGUUCUACUAUUAAGAUGUUUAAUAUUAAUAAGAAAUAUUCAGGGUCGUAGCUGUAGAACAGAAUGUCGUUCGCCUUUACUUUCACUUUCUGAGAAGGACUUAAGUAGCUAAGAUUCCAAAUGUGAACACCCCCUGUCCUUUAUAGUAUAGUCGUAAAGUUCUUCUCAGAAAAGUCAUGAAGAAGGCACUCGAAAGGCCGACCACUAACUCAUAGGAACUCUGGUGGUAAAAAUGACGACUACACGGCUCUAUACCAAGUCAUGAGCGAUAGCGAAGCCCAGCCGCCGUCUAUAGGCGAAGGGAUGAAAGCCGGACGAAGGCCUAUGCUACAGUGAGAAAACAAAGUACGUCGAGGUUACGAAGUAACUUACCCGUAUACUAUACAAAGGGAAAGGCGUCGGUAUGGAGUCACGUCAGGUGUGGAUAUAGACUAGGCUAUAAGGAACAGAGUCAACAACUGUGGACUGAGACUACACUAAGGAACGAGGAAGCUUGACUGAGAAAAGAAGUCAAGGAACGAAGCUGCAUCUCUAAUAGCCCGUUGAAUAGAUGGGCGAAGGCUUUUUGGAAAAGUCUUUUUUGUUUUGUAAAUGCUCUAUUUAGAGAGAGGGGGCUUCAAGUUCUUAGGAAGAGCCGUACGAGACAGCUCAUGUACGGUUCGGGAGUCGAGCCCCUGCGCAGGGGCUUAGGUCAACACUUAUAUAAUAGCUAGUCAUCAAUUGGAAGCGGGAAAGAUGGUGAUGAAUUGCGAUUGGUCUAAACCUUCGACUAGCGACUUAUUGCGACCUGCCCAGAAUGCCCAUACAGACUAAGACCUUAUUCACACAGCGAAGAAAGGCCGAGUGGAAGGGGGCAGGCAGCUGGCUGCUUCUUUGCCAUGCGCUUUGCUUCGCUUUAUUUUAUAGAAGAAAGAGACCAAAUGAGAGUGAAAGGCAAGGGCAAGCGAUAGAAAGGAGAGUCCCUCGCGCGAACUACUACUACUAGAAAAUGGUGAGACCAUUAGUGAAAGAAGGACCAAAAGAAAGGCCGAGUGGAAGGGGGCAGGAAGGUGGCUGCUUCUUUGCCAUGCACUUUACUUCGCUUUAUUUUAUAGAAGAAAGAGACCAAAUGAGAGUGAAAGGCAAGGGCAAGCGAUAGAAAGGAGAGUCCCUCGCGCUGAACUACUACUACUAGAAAAUGGUGAGACCAUUAGUGAAAGAAGGACCAAGGAGAACCCUAUCCUAAUGGAGAAAGAGGAGUCAGUUUCUUUGAAGAUCUAGGAACGUAGUGUCGGACAAUUAUGCCAUUCGAAAGAAGUCUUCUACAGAAGAAAAUCCUGUUACGAGUAAGUGGAGAGGAAAGAUCUCCAAGGAUUCUUAUCUCAUUCCAUUCCAUUGGCUCAACCAGUAACCAAUGGCAAAAACUAACAAAUCCAUGGUUUCCUGGUAGAACCCUAGUUCGCCCAAGUUGUCUCGGAACCGGAAAAAAGAAGCGGGUUUUUGCACAGCUUGCUCAUAGUGCAGGUUCCACUUGUAUAUCGUAUUUGGCCGAAGACGCAUCGGACAGGUUGGAGUUCUUACCUUCUUGGGACUCCAUGGACCAAUAUCUGCUUUUAUUAUAUGGUCAAUACCGAUCUACUUUAGUAGAUCAUAUGGAUGUAGAAAAAGCUUCUAAUUUGAAUGAAAUAGAAACAUCUCUUUUCCAUUUCUAUUUACUCAGUUCAUAUCUUUGUUUCAUGUGUUCCUGGGAGGAAUUCGAUCUCGGAAUACCACCUAAAUAACUACGGCCAGAGAGUCAAAUAGGUCGGGAAGAAAGAGUCUGAGGUCGGGUCGGACGACAUACAUCUUGGUUGGUUCCACCACCACUAGAGAUUGGACAUAUAUAUAAUCUUUCUUCUAAAAAAGGGAUUCUUAUAUAUAUAUAUUAUUAAAAUAGCUGCAAGACCAAAACGGGGUGCAAAAAACCGAAAGCUCUUCUUUUAUUUAAGUUCCUCCCAGAUACAUGGCUUACAUACCCGGCUCAACAUUCUUGGAAAACAAUCGAAUCGAGGGUUCGGAGGAGAAUUGGCCAUUCAAUCUUGUGAACUAAUCGAGACCAAAAUUGGAAAAAUAGAUACGAACGGAGAGGAAUAAACAAUCGAUGAAAGAACAUGAAACCAUUCUAUUUUGAUAGAGGUACAAGAAACGGUUGGGGGCAAUGAAGUAGGUGAAGUGGUUGGAUUUUGCGAGUUGUUCCAACCACUGUUGGAUGUGAUUCCAAGAGCCUAACGAGAAUGAAUACCACACAGAAGAGUCAAGACCAGGCUCCCGAAAGGAAUGUUUAACCGAUCCAUUCCGGAUCGACUGAAUUGGUACGGAAGUUGAAACAUGGGAAAACCACUGAAAACACGACUUAUUUGAAUAACCCGGUGACCUACCAAUUGUAGAAGUAGGAUUUUUGGCAAGCAAUAAGCACUUAAAUAAUACAAUUCAAGUGUACCAUCUUCUUUCUCAUUUCAAGGAAAAGGAGCGGAAGGAAAAGGAAAAAGCGGAGGGAUCCGAAUCGGACCUAAAUGGGAAGGAUAUGAAAAGUCUUUCUCAAAACCUAGCAUUAAGGGCGUUAUGACUAUAUACGAUAGGAAUAGAGAAAAACUCGUGAUUGGUAUGGAGGGGAAGAUCUGUUUAUGAUAUAGUUCAUGAAAGAGUCGUCUUAUUUCCUUACUUCUUUCUAAUUCAUUCACUUCAAGACUUGUUCUGAACGCCGCCUAACAUCAUCCUCAACCAACCUCUACCGUACUUUCGGUGCGACCACUAAAGAAUUGCUUAUACACUAAACAACUGCUUAUAUACGUUUACUAAAAGACUGACACUCAUUCAUUAUCAUUAGUCCAGCGUGAAACUAAGAAAGAGAGAUAUUCCUAAGGCGGCAUGUAAGCAACUGUGCACGCUAAGAGAAGAGGAGAGAUGUUCGCGAUUACUACCACAAGAAACCCGCCCCCUAUCUUCUAAAGGGGCCCGUCACUUCGUUCGUACCUUCUUGGCUUAGGCUUCCAACUGAACAACAUGGCCUUGCCGCCCCGCCACUAGCAGAAGCUAAGCGCUUGAAAAGCGCGCUAAGAAAGGUUGCUUCUGUCGCCCUUUCUGUUUGCCGCCCCGCCACUAGCAUAAGCUAAGCGCUUGAAAAGCACGCAAAGAAAGGUUGCUUUUGUCGCCCUUUCUGUGCAACAUUCCACCAGUAGCGGAAGAGAGGAUUACCGUACAUACAAGAGUCUUCCAGUUCUUACGGAAGCUCUUUCUUAUGAGUCAAUCAAGUAGUACAAGAACUUUAUCUUAUCUUAUAGCCCGGCGCGGCGGGUCGCCUUUUAAAUUAAGUAGAUAGAAUAAAGUAUUAAAUAGAUAAGGAGUAGGUGAGUGAGUGAGUCCUCACUGACCUCAGCGAUUUUGAUCACCUAGCAGGCCUUUUAUUUGGUAGGUAACAUCGCCAAAGCGGAUCAUCAAAUUUGACUACGAAGGAAGGAACUCGAAGUGAAAGGGCACCGUCUUGUGCAAGGCAACGAUAGUUGGCCCUCUAUCAUCUUCUAUCUGGUAGACUUGGUAAAAGGGCCCCGACUUAUUUCCAGAAUAAGAGUUCGACCGCGGCUUCCCCCUUUUUUUGGGGGGGAUCAAGUUCCUUGCCAACUGCCACCUAUCGACCCCGACCUCUUUUCAUUUGUUUUGGAUAUUACCAAACCUAGCCUAGCCUUCGUAAAUCACACUAAAGCGGACACCCAACUAUGGAAAAGCCUCCUUAAGGGGGGGUUAGGUUAGUCAAUACCUAGCCUAGCCUUCGU
RNAcentral lists this long non-coding RNA (34920 nucleotides) under Nicotiana benthamiana. The record is from RNAcentral. Lineage: Eukaryota; Viridiplantae; Streptophyta; Magnoliopsida; Solanales; Solanaceae.